AAAGUCGUAACAAGGUCUCCGUUGGUGAACCAGCGGAGGGAUCAUUAUCGAGUUUACAACUCCCAAACCCCUGUGAACCAUACCAUCGUUGCUUCGGCGGGAUCGCCCCGGCGCCCCAGGCCCGGACCCAGACGCCCGCCGGAGACCCAAACUCUUUGACUUUUAGAGGUUUCUUCUGAGUAACACAAGUAAAUAAAUUAAAACUUUUAACAACGGAUCUCUUGGUUCUG
This 230-nucleotide unclassified non-coding RNA is filed under the name Ascomycota sp. RNAcentral describes it as "partial contains small subunit ribosomal RNA, internal transcribed spacer 1, and 5.8S ribosomal RNA". The stretch from base 1 to 47 matches the Rfam family "Eukaryotic small subunit ribosomal RNA", at positions 1785 to 1831 of the family's 1831-position model. The record is from RNAcentral. Lineage: Eukaryota; Fungi; Ascomycota.